GACGAACGCUGGCGGCGUGCUUAACACAUGCGAGUCGAACGGUGAAGCGCCUUCCUUUUUGGUGGGUGUGGAUGAGUGGCGAACGGGUGAGUAACACGUGAGUAACCUGCCCCCUUCUUCUGGAUAACCGCAUGAAAGUGUGGCUAAUACGGGAUAUUCUGGGUCUGUCGCAUGAUGGGUCUGGGAAAGAUAUUGUUUCGGUGGGGGAUGGGCUCGCGGCCUAUCAGCUUGUUGGUGGGGUGAUGGCCUACCAAGGCGGUGACGGGUAGCCGGCCUGAGAGGGUGGACGGUCACACUGGGACUGAGACACGGCCCAGACUCCGACGGGAGGCAGCAGGGGGGAAUAUGGCACAAUGGGCGCAAGCCUGAUGCAGCGACGCCGCGUGAGGGAUGGAGGCCUGCGGGUUGUGAACCUCUUUCGCCAGUGAAGCAGGCCUGCCUCGUUUGUGGGUGGGUUGACGGUAGCUGGAUAAGAAGCGCCGGCUAACUACGUG
This 494-nucleotide ribosomal RNA is filed under the name uncultured bacterium. Its description in RNAcentral is "partial 16S ribosomal RNA". It matches the Rfam family "Bacterial small subunit ribosomal RNA", at positions 28 to 507 of the family's 1533-position model. The record is from RNAcentral.